AAAAAAAAAAAGUGACUUUUCUAGGCACUGCAAUUCAACAGACAUUCAUUAAACAUUUACUAUGGUCAGCAUUGUGCCAGGAAUGAAAAACUGGAUAUAAACUGGACCCUUUCUUAGGAGCAUCAGAAACUCACUGGCUUCUCAGACUCCCCUGGAGUCCAUCCAUGUGUUCUCAUUUAAGAACUCGUCCCUAAACUUCCAUGGAGAACCGUCACAAAGGAAUCCUAAUUCUCAUACUCUUUGAUAGGCUAAUUCCAAAAUAAAG
RNAcentral lists this long non-coding RNA (265 nucleotides) under Homo sapiens (human). Its description in RNAcentral is "HSALNT0370085". Lineage: Eukaryota; Metazoa; Chordata; Mammalia; Primates; Hominidae. The record is from RNAcentral.